GAUGAACGCUGGCGGCGUGCUUAACACAUGCAAGUCGAACGGGAAUUACUUUAUUGAAACUUCGGUCGAUUUAAUUUAAUUCUAGUGGCGGACGGGUGAGUAACGCGUGGGUAACCUGCCUUAUACAGGGGGAUAACAGUCAGAAAUGGCUGCUAAUACCGCAUAAGCGCACAGAGCUGCAUGGCUCAGUGUGAAAAACUCCGGUGGUAUAAGAUGGACCCGCGUUGGAUUAGCUUGUUGGUGGGGUAACGGCCCACCAAGGCGACGAUCCAUAGCCGGCCUGAGAGGGUGAACGGCCACAUUGGGGCUGAGACACGGCCCAGACUCCUACGGGAGGCAGCAGUGGGGAAUAUUGCACAAUGGGGGAAACCCUGAUGCAGCGACGCCGCGUGAAGGAAGAAGUAUCUCGGUAUGUAAACUUCUAUCAGCAGGGAAGAUAGUGACGGU
This 447-nucleotide ribosomal RNA is filed under the name uncultured bacterium. Its description in RNAcentral is "bacterial SSU rRNA". It matches the Rfam family "Bacterial small subunit ribosomal RNA", at positions 28 to 458 of the family's 1533-position model. The record is from RNAcentral.